CCCGCGGGUCCCAGAUGCACUGGAUGAACCCACAGUAUUUUCUAUAUUGCCGUGGAGCCUGAGAGGAUUACCAAAGUGUGUCUGGUGAAGUAGGGCCAGGGGACCGGGG
Molecule: small nucleolar RNA, 109 nt
Filed under: Tursiops truncatus (common bottlenose dolphin)
Lineage: Eukaryota; Metazoa; Chordata; Mammalia; Artiodactyla; Delphinidae
Description: small Cajal body-specific RNA 17 (ENSTTRG00000024955.1)
Source: RNAcentral